AUGUCUGAAAAAGCCCCAGGUGUGGCAGUGUUUCAUCCACAGCCUUCUGCCCAGGAGCUUGCAGUGUAGAAGUCUCUGGAGCCUUCUCCGCAUCAGCCCAGCCUCCAAAUCUGCAACAUUUUCAUUGCAAAGCCAUCUGGAGUUUAGAGGAGUAGUGCCCAGUCUCCCCAAAAGUGGGCGGCUUCGAUCCAAAGGCUGAGUGUGAAGUUAGACCAUCGACUUUAUUCUUGGUAGUGAUAGCUGAGCUCCUGGCCUCAGGCUAUGGCCUGUCCCGAGCUGGGUGGAGAGGACCUGGGGCUGAAUGCCGAUGCCAUUAAGAUAGAUACUGCAUAGCCGUGAGAAGGGAACGGCCAGAGAUCGUUCUGGCUCAUCCCCUUCUGACUCCAGCCACCGAUGGUGCUGUGUCCCAGCGCUGGUGAAUGGGCAGCAGGGCUCCGGAGCUGCUGACCCCUGCAGCAGGAACCCCCCAGGACCUUCAUCACCGGCCCCGGGGCUGGGGGCCGGGGCGGCUCUCGCAGGGCCGCGGGGAACGGAUGUCACCCCGGGCCAGUCACACCAGCGCCACGCCGUCCGUGACGCAGCUGCACCUCUCCACGAUCAUGUUGGGGAACUCGGCCGCCUCGAUCUCGGUGCUGUUGCCCCUCUUGACGAGGUAGAUGAUGGGCAGCGGGGAGCUCCCGGCCACGGCGCAGGAGCGCUGCCCGGAGCCGAGGCGGCGCAGGGCGCGGGGCGGCUGCGGGCAGCUCCCGGAGCAGCGGAACGCCUGGAACCCCGCCGGCUCCAGGAUCCAGUGCUGCGCCCAGGGCAGCUCGCGGAAGCUGAUGUAGUGCUUCUGCCGGCAGCAGGUGGAUUUCCCCAUCACCGCCUCCUCCCUGCAGUCCCCAGGGCUCCUGGACGCCGAGGGAGAAACAGGAAUGAGCGCUGUAACUGGAAACUGGGAAGCGGGAGAAAUCAUCCCUGCUGCUAAUAGCACGGCUGGGCUGUGAGACCCGAAACCUGGGCCGUGCCCAGGGUUUGUUUGAGUAUUCGGACAACAGAUAUGGGAAGAGGAGAGGUGAGAUUCAGCAGUAGCUUUCUAACUACUCCAUUCACAGCUGGUCAGCACUUGUGAGGGUAAGAGCUGCCUGCCCCGGGUUUGCCCACCCUGGGUUUGCACGCCUCCACAAAAAUUCGGGGACAGCUUUACACCAGAGACAGUACAGAUUUAGGUUUCAUACGUACCCAUAGUCAUCCAAGUUGAGGGUGUAAAGCACCAGCUCGGGCUUGCCUAGGGCUUUAUCCUUGGGGUCCUGCGAGGUGAAGCUCACGGCUUUGGCCAUUUCCGAGGCGUAGGUGCCCAUCCUUUCCCCCUCGAUCCACACCUCCAGGAACAUCGGCUCCUCCCUCUUGUUCCUCAGCCAGUAAUGCACGGCCUGGGUCACAUCAAAGCUCUUCCAGCCCGACUCACGAAUAGGAACCAGCCUGCAGGACAAGGGUUGGCAUUAGAAAAGCCCAUCAGAUAAACCCCGGGCUCAAAGUUAUUGCAACAGGGUAAUUUACUUCCUGUAGAUUGUCACAUGCCCUGAUUACACGAUCAUUUUUGCUCUGGGCGAGCACCCACAGCACUUAAUUGCUACCUCAGAACAAAGGAUGCAGAUCUAACAGACACUGAAGGGACAGAAAAAACCCUCUCUAUGUGCUCAUACAAAUAAAUUAGGUGGUGCAGGAUUAUGUGCAGCCUCAGUACUGGUGACAACCUGGCAAACACAAGACUCCCACCUGUUCCUGUCUGAGCUGCAUUAGGGCCAUAAGUGUCUAGGCCAGUCCAGUUCUGCCUUCAGGGGUUGCAAAACUUCCACUGAGCUCACCAUUACAAAAUCAGAGGUUUUUUGCAUAAUUUACUUGUUAAAACCAGCUAAUGAAAUGGCCAGUGGAAAGAAUAUCUGCAGCCACUAACCCAUUUGAGUUAGUGACAGAGAAUUGGGCCAGGUGGGGGAUUUUAGAGGGGAAGACAUAGCAGUACACGGCAUCAUUUCAUAGAUUAUUUCGAAGAAUCACCAUAUAUUGCAAUCUUAGCAUAAUAUCUGCUCUUAUAAGCUCAUUCUGUGUUUAGAGGCCAUAUAACCUGGUUGUACAGAUGUAAACCCCAUCAGACUGAGCUGAGGCACAACCACAUGAUACCCAAAUGCACCCCAGAGGGCCCAAACCCUGUAACUCCAGCAGAGGCCCCUUUCUUACCUGGAAUCUAUCAGGGAGGUCCUGUUGGUACCGUCGUGCUGCCGCUGCACCCAGUACACGCUGACUCUGGCGUUGGAGACGGGCCUGUGAGACUGCUUGGCAGGAAGGUUUGCUCUGUCCAGAGGCUUUUUGAAGAGUUUCAGUUCAGCCAUUGUGACUUCGCUGUUUUUAGGUAUUCUGCCCUCCAUGUCAAACAUCAGCUUCUGGCGUGUGGUUGUGUCGGAGUACAGGACUUCUCCCGUCAUGCCUGACGCAGUUGAGGACAAAAAAAGUUGGCCUGUCACUGCCAUCCUACUGAGCAAAGCCACCAUAUUUCAUGCACAAUUAUCACAACACACUCCUCCCAUGCUCCCAGCCCUUGUGGCAGAGACAGGCACUAAAUACACCUUUUCUAAUGCAUACUUGAAUCAAUGCCUUGCAAAUGCCCUAAUUAUUCUCCUAUCUGAGUCUCUGCAGCCUGGGAAAACUAAAACUCCGACAUAAUAUGACCUCAAAUUGAGCAGACCUCAAAAGAUGUGCACCUCUGUGCCGGUGCUGGGCAUGAAAGCAGGCAACUGCACCACUUGGAAUGAAAAAGUAUUUUCAUUUGCUGCCCAGGGUGCUGUAUAUGUCAUUUGAAAGCACAAUAAGCUCUAAGUGCCCUUGUGCAGUCACUGUUGUACCUGUAUGGCUAUUUUCCUCCUUGAUCAUUUUUCCUGUAAAAAACAAGCCUGAGCAAAAAAGAGAUGAGAGAGAGUGAAACAUCCCCCAAGAGGUGUGAUUUCUAUUAGAGGACUUGCUGUAGAUUUCCCCCAAAACCUACAUGGC
Hirundo rustica (Barn swallow) is the source of this 3024-nucleotide long non-coding RNA. RefSeq lists it as uncharacterized. NCBI's taxonomy places the organism in Eukaryota, Metazoa, Chordata, Aves, Passeriformes, Hirundinidae. The record is from RefSeq and is a predicted model, not a curated record. The transcript has 3 exons.